RNAcentral lists this ribosomal RNA (253 nucleotides) under uncultured bacterium. RNAcentral's name for it is "partial 16S ribosomal RNA". It matches the Rfam family "Bacterial small subunit ribosomal RNA", at positions 524 to 776 of the family's 1533-position model. The record is from RNAcentral.
UACGUAGGGGGCAAGCGUUGUCCGGAUUUAUUGGGCGUAAAGAGCGUGUAGGCGGCCUGACAAGUCUGCUGUGAAAACUCGAGGCUCAACCUCGAGAUGUCGGCGGAAACUGUCUGGCUAGAGUCCGGAAGAGGAGAGUGGAAUUCCUGGUGUAGCGGUGAAAUGCGCAGAUAUCAGGAAGAACACCUAUGGCGAAGGCAGCACUCUGGGACGGUACUGACGCUGAGACGCGAAAGCGUGGGGAGCGAACAGG